This is a long non-coding RNA of Maniola jurtina (meadow brown), 132 nucleotides long. RefSeq lists it as uncharacterized. The transcript is spliced from 3 exons. NCBI's taxonomy places the organism in Eukaryota, Metazoa, Arthropoda, Insecta, Lepidoptera, Nymphalidae. The record is from RefSeq and is a predicted model, not a curated record.
AUUUCAUUCUACAGUGUGUGAACUGGUUAUUAAAUAAAUCUAGUAUCAAAACCAGGUGAGGUUAUAAAACGAUAAGUGUAAUUUUUUGUAGUGUUGCAGGUUUCUAAAAAGUUAAAAAAUUAUUAUCAUUUU